GUGCCAGCCGCCGCGGUAAUACGAAGGAUUCGAGCGUUAUCCGGAUUUAUUGGGUUUAAAGGGUGCGUAGGUGGAUCAAUAAGUCAGUGGUGAAAGCCCAGAGCUCAACUCUGGAACUGCCAUUGAUACUGUUGAUCUUGAGUACAGUUGAGGUGGGCGGAAUGUGUCAUGUAGCGGUGAAAUGCUUAGAUAUGACACAGAACACCGAUUGCGAAGGCAGCUCACUAAGCUGUAACUGACACUGAGGCACGAAAGCGUGGGGAGCAAACAGGAUUAGAAACCCGGGUAGUCC
This 292-nucleotide ribosomal RNA is filed under the name uncultured bacterium. Its description in RNAcentral is "partial 16S ribosomal RNA". It matches the Rfam family "Bacterial small subunit ribosomal RNA", at positions 505 to 796 of the family's 1533-position model. The record is from RNAcentral.